GACGAACGCUGGCGGCGUGCCUAAUACAUGCAAGUUGAGCGCUGAAGGUUGGUACUUGUACCAACUGGAUGAGCAGCGAACGGGUGAGUAACGCGUGGGGAAUCUGCCUUUGAGCGGGGGACAACAUUUGGAAACGAAUGCUAAUACCGCAUAAAAACUUUAAACACAAGUUUUAAGUUUGAAAGAUGCAAUUGCAUCACUCAAAGAUGAUCCCGCGUUGUAUUAGCUAGUUGGUGAGGUAAAGUCUCACCAAGGCGAUGAUACAUAGCCGACCUGAGAGGGUGAUCGGCCACAUUGGGACUGAGACACGGCCCAAACUCCUACGGGAGGCAGCAGUAGGGAAUCUUCGGCAAUGGACGAAAGUCUGACCGAGCAACGCCGCGGGAGUGAAGAAGGUUUUCGGAUCGUAAAACUCUGUUGGUAGAGAAGAACGUUGGUGAGAGUGGAAAGCUCAUCAAGUGACGGUAACUACCCAGAAAGGGACGGCUAACUACGUG
This 497-nucleotide ribosomal RNA is filed under the name uncultured bacterium. RNAcentral's name for it is "partial 16S ribosomal RNA". It matches the Rfam family "Bacterial small subunit ribosomal RNA", at positions 28 to 507 of the family's 1533-position model. The record is from RNAcentral.